UUCACAAAAUAUAUUGCAGAUGAGACUUAUGGUUAAUGAGAGAAGACAUGUAUAAAAGCAUAUAUCAAAAAAGCAUAUACCAAACUGUCUUGAUAAUUUAUAAUCAAUUUGAAAGUGAGACUCUUAUUACUUUCUUUUUUUUUUUUUUUUUUUUUUUUGAGACGGAGUCUCGCUCUGUUGCCCAGGCUGGAGUGCAGUGGCGCGAUCUCGGCUCACUGCAAGCUCCGCCUCCCGGGUUCACGCCAUUCUCCUGCCUCAGCCUCCUGAGUAGCUGGGACUACAGGCGCCCGCUA
Molecule: long non-coding RNA, 293 nt
Filed under: Pan troglodytes (chimpanzee)
Lineage: Eukaryota; Metazoa; Chordata; Mammalia; Primates; Hominidae
Description: long non-coding RNA NONPTRT011952
Source: RNAcentral